This 497-nucleotide ribosomal RNA is filed under the name uncultured bacterium. Its description in RNAcentral is "partial 16S ribosomal RNA". It matches the Rfam family "Bacterial small subunit ribosomal RNA", at positions 28 to 507 of the family's 1533-position model. The record is from RNAcentral.
GAUGAACGCUGGCGGCGUGCCUAAUACAUGCAAGUCGAGCGAACAGACGCUGAGUUUGCUCCUCGCACGUUUGCGGCGCACGUGUGAGUAACACGUGUAUAACCUACCUAUAAUUCUGGUAUAACUUCGGGAAACGGGCUCUUAUCCCGUAGAAUAUAUUGAACCGCAUGGUUCAAUGGUGAGAGUCGGUGUUGCUGUCACGACUAGAUGGAUCCGCGCGGCAUUAGCUGGUUGGUCAGGUAACGGCUUACGAAGGCGACGAUGCGUAGCCGACCUGAGAGGGUGAUAGCCCACAUGGGAACUGGGACACGGUCAAGACUCCUGAGGGAGGCAGCAGUAGGGAACCGUACGCAAUGGGGGAAAGCAUGACGGAGUAACGCGACGCGAGUGAUGACGGUCUUGGGAGCGUAAAACUCUGUUAUUAGGGAAGAACAAAUGUGGAAGGAACUAUGGACGUAUUGACGGUAACUAAUCAGAAAGCAACGGCUAACUACGUG